ACCACCGGGAUGAUGGACUUCAUGAUCAGC
RNAcentral lists this non-coding RNA (30 nucleotides) under Homo sapiens (human). The record is from RNAcentral. Lineage: Eukaryota; Metazoa; Chordata; Mammalia; Primates; Hominidae.